Molecule: ribosomal RNA, 253 nt
Filed under: uncultured bacterium
Lineage: Bacteria
Description: partial 16S ribosomal RNA
Rfam family: Bacterial small subunit ribosomal RNA
Source: RNAcentral
UACGGAGGGAGCUAGCGUUGUUCGGAAUUACUGGGCGUAAAGCGCACGUAGGCGGCUUUUUAAGUCAGGGGUGAAAUCCCGGGGCUUAACCCCGGAACUGCCCUUGAAACUGGAGAGCUAGAAUCUUGGAGAGGCGAGUGGAAUUCCGAGUGUAGAGGUGAAAUUCGUAGAUAUUCGGAAGAACACCAGUGGCGAAGGCGACUCGCUGGACAAGUAUUGACGCUGAGGUGCGAAAGCGUGGGGAGCAAACAGG